GACGAACGCUGGCGGCGUGCUUAACACAUGCAAGUGGAGCGACGAACCAGGGCUUGCCCUGGGGCAGAGCCGCGAACGGGUGAGUAACACGUGGGUUACCUACCCCGAUGACCGGGACAACCCGAGGAAACUCGGGCUAAUACCGGAUGUGGUCUUCGGACGAAAGGAAGCUUCGGCCUCCGCAUCGGGAUGGGCCCGCGGCGCAUUAGCUUGUUGGUGGGGUAACGGCCUACCAAGGCGACGAUGCGUAGCUGGUCUGAGAGGACGAUCAGCCACACUGGGACUGAGAUACGGCCCAGAUUCCGUACGGGGGCAGCAGUUAGGAAUCUUGCGCAAUGGGACGAAAGCCUGACGCAGCAACGCCGCGU
Molecule: ribosomal RNA, 368 nt
Filed under: uncultured bacterium
Lineage: Bacteria
Description: bacterial SSU rRNA
Rfam family: Bacterial small subunit ribosomal RNA
Source: RNAcentral